RNAcentral lists this ribosomal RNA (540 nucleotides) under uncultured bacterium. RNAcentral's name for it is "bacterial SSU rRNA". It matches the Rfam family "Bacterial small subunit ribosomal RNA", at positions 355 to 896 of the family's 1533-position model. The record is from RNAcentral.
UGAGGAAUAUUGGUCAAUGGGCGCAAGCCUGAACCAGCCAAGUAGCGUGCAGGAAGACGGCCCUAUGGGUUGUAAACUGCUUUUAUACGAGAAUAAUUUGAUGCACGUGCGCGUUAUUGCAUGUAUCGUAUGAAUAAGGACCGGCUAAUUCCGUGCCAGCAGCCGCGGUAAUACGGAAGGUCCAGGCGUUAUCCGGAUUUAUUGGGUUUAAAGGGAGUGUAGGCGGUUUGUUAAGCGUGUUGUGAAAUUUAGGUGCUCAACAUUUAACUUGCAGCGCGAACUGUCAGACUUGAGUACACGCAACGUAUGCGGAAUUCAUGGUGUAGCGGUGAAAUGCUUAGAUAUCAUGAAGAACUCCGAUUGCGAAGGCAGCAUACGGGAGUGUAACUGACGCUUAAGCUCGAAGGUGCGGGUAUCGAACAGGAUUAGAUACCCUGGUAGUCCGCACAGUAAACGAUGGAUGCCCGCUGUUAGCGCCUGGCGUUAGCGGCUAAGCGAAAGCAUUAAGCAUCCCACCUGGGGAGUACGCCGGCAACGGUG